CAGGGGGUAGUUUAAGUUUAGAAUAUCAGUUUUGGAGGCUGAUGAUGAGUUAGUACCUUCCCCUUGA
RNAcentral lists this transfer RNA (67 nucleotides) under Calcaritermes cf. nigriceps. RNAcentral's name for it is "tRNA-Pro". It matches the Rfam family "tRNA". Rfam says of the family: Transfer RNA (tRNA) molecules are approximately 80 nucleotides in length. Their secondary structure includes four short double-helical elements and three loops (D, anti-codon, and T loops). Further hydrogen bonds mediate the characteristic L-shaped molecular structure. tRNAs have two regions of fundamental functional importance: the anti-codon, which is responsible for specific mRNA codon recognition, and the 3' end, to which the tRNAs corresponding amino acid is attached (by aminoacyl-tRNA synthetases). tRNAs cope with the degeneracy of the genetic code in two manners: having more than one tRNA (with a specific anti-codon) for a particular amino acid; and 'wobble' base-pairing, i.e. permitting non-standard base-pairing at the 3rd anti-codon position. Lineage: Eukaryota; Metazoa; Arthropoda; Insecta; Blattodea; Kalotermitidae. The record is from RNAcentral.